CCUACGGGAGGCAGCAGUGAGGAAUCUUGGUCAAUGGACGGGAGCCUGAACGAGCCAAGUAGCGUGAAGGAUGACUGCCCUACGGGUUGUAAACUUCUUUUUUAAAGGAGUAAGAUUAGGCACGUGUGCCUUUUUGUAUGUACUUUAUGAAUAAGGAUCGGCUAACUCCGUGCCCGCAGACGCGGUAAUAGGGAGGCUCAGGGCGUGAUCCGGAUUUGUUGGGUUUAAAGGGAACGUAGAUGGGUUGUUAAGUCAGUUGUGAAAGUUUGCGGCUCAACCGUAAAAUUGCAAUUGAUACUGGCAGCCUUGAGUACAGUUGAGGUAGGCGGAAUUCGUGGUGUAGCGGUGAAAUGCUUAGAUAUCACGAAGAACUCCGAUUGCGAAGGCAGCUUACUAAACUGCCACUGACAUUGAUGCUCGAAAGUGUGGGUAGCAAACAGGAUUAGAUACCCUAGUAGUC
This 460-nucleotide ribosomal RNA is filed under the name uncultured bacterium. RNAcentral describes it as "partial 16S ribosomal RNA". It matches the Rfam family "Bacterial small subunit ribosomal RNA", at positions 338 to 795 of the family's 1533-position model. The record is from RNAcentral.